RNAcentral lists this transfer-messenger RNA (547 nucleotides) under Rickettsiales bacterium. It matches the Rfam family "Alphaproteobacteria transfer-messenger RNA". From Rfam's summary of the family: Bacterial tmRNA, also known as 10Sa RNA or SsrA, is named for its dual tRNA and mRNA-like properties. The record is from RNAcentral. Lineage: Bacteria; Pseudomonadati; Pseudomonadota; Alphaproteobacteria; Rickettsiales.
AAGGUUGACCUUUAAGUAAUUUGAGUGUAUAAAUAUAAUACAAUGUUGAAGCAAUUCAAACACUGAACUGGACCCGGGGGCGGUACCCGGCGACUCCACCAUAAACACAUGAGAGGAAACCUUUAUGGAUGCUAAAAUUUUUGUAUUAGUAGUUUCAAUGUGGGGACACAAUGGAACAGAAUGGGAGUAUAUUGGAAACCAAUCAGUUUUAAAUCAAGACAUGACUCAGCAACAAUGUGAGUACAUGGCUGAUGAAGAAAAAACUUGGACAGUACAUAAUACUAACAAAUACUAUCGUAUACAAAUGCAAUGUUAUCCUAAAAAAUGUGCAGGUCAAAAGACUUGCGAAUAGUCGUGUGUUUAUGAUGGGGUCGAAAUAGGAUCGACAGGCAGAUUAGUAGAAGAGUGGAGUUGUCCGGAUCUAAGCUCGGUUAACGCGAAGAAAACUUAUAAUUGCAAACGACAAUUAUGCGCCAGAAAUGGCAUUAGCGGCCUAAUUUAGGCACGUAGGGGUUGGCAACUUACCUGGCAACAGAAAAGUUGCACU